UGCGUAUUAAGAUGAAAUCUAUCAAUCUUGAUAGAGAAGAGUAGUCUUAUAAAAUUUGAGAGGCUAAGUUUGAGAGUCUGUGACCAUAGCAGUGUGAUUGAUGGAAAAGAGUUUCCAUAAGAAUCACAAUUGGACUUGAGCUGAUCAAAUCUAUCAUAUGACUGAUGAUGAGGUUUGAUGAUUUACCCAUGACCUACCAUCU
Molecule: long non-coding RNA, 202 nt
Filed under: Elaeis guineensis (African oil palm)
Lineage: Eukaryota; Viridiplantae; Streptophyta; Magnoliopsida; Arecales; Arecaceae
Description: long non-coding RNA (EGUI_LNC017342)
Source: RNAcentral